CCCUUAGAUGUUCUGGGCCGCACGCGCGCUACACUGACGAAGUCAGCGAGCAUGUCCUACGCCGACAGGUGCGGGGAAUCUUGUCAACUUCGUCGUGAUGGGGAUUGAUUAUUGAAAUUCUUGAUCAUCAACGAGGAAUUCCUAGUAAGCGCAAGUCAGCAGCUUGCGUUGAUUACGUCCCUGCCCUUUGUACACACCGCCCGUCGCUACUACCGAUUGAAUGGUUUAGUGAGAUCUUCGGAUUGGCGCCACUGCGGCUCAGCAAUGGGCUCGGUGGAUGCCGAAAAGUUGAUCAAACUUGAUCAUUUAGAGGAAGUAAAAGUCGUAACA
This 330-nucleotide ribosomal RNA is filed under the name uncultured eukaryote. RNAcentral describes it as "partial 18S ribosomal RNA". It matches the Rfam family "Eukaryotic small subunit ribosomal RNA", at positions 1470 to 1796 of the family's 1831-position model. The record is from RNAcentral.